Molecule: ribosomal RNA, 166 nt
Filed under: Glomus sp. (unid)
Lineage: Eukaryota; Fungi; Glomeromycota; Glomeromycetes; Glomerales; Glomeraceae
Source: RNAcentral
CAGUCGUACCUGCGGAUAAUCAGCUUUUUGAGUGUGAUUAUGUGGCUUAUGAGGAGUUCAACCGCCUUCAUGUAUUGCAUAUUUGUGCUUCUUGGGUUACUUGUCUGUGUGGUAGGUUAACAUCAAUUUCGGUCGUCAUAAAAUGAUUGGAGGAAUGUAGCUUUGG